UCGAGAAUCUUCCGCAAUGGGCGAAAGCCUGACGGAGCGACGCCGCGUGUAGGAUGAAGGCCCUCGGGUUGUAAACUACUGUCACGGGUUAUGAAUGUGCAUAUGUUAACAGCGUGUGUAUUGACGUAAGCCCGAAAGGAAGCACCGGCUAACUCUGUGCCAGCAGCCGCGGUAAUACAGAGGGUGCAAACGUUGUUCGGAAUUACUGGGCAUAAAGCGCGCGUAGGCGGCGACGUAAGUGUAGGGUGAAAUCCCACGGCUCACCCGUGUGAAUUGCCCCGCAUACUGCGUUGCUUGAGUGUGGUAGGGGAGAGCGGAACUCCUGGUGGAGCGGUGAAAUGCGUAGAUAUCAGGAGGAACACCGGUGGCGUAGGCGGCUCUCUGGUCCAUAACUGACGCUGAAGUGCGAAAGCUAGGGUAGCGAACGGGAUUAGAUACCCUGGUAGUCCCUGAGCGGGCUGGCAAGGCGCAU
RNAcentral lists this ribosomal RNA (472 nucleotides) under uncultured bacterium. RNAcentral's name for it is "bacterial SSU rRNA". It matches the Rfam family "Bacterial small subunit ribosomal RNA", at positions 355 to 825 of the family's 1533-position model. The record is from RNAcentral.